Long non-coding RNA from Rhineura floridana, 784 nucleotides. RefSeq lists it as uncharacterized. The transcript has 3 exons. The record is from RefSeq and is a predicted model, not a curated record. NCBI's taxonomy places the organism in Eukaryota, Metazoa, Chordata, Lepidosauria, Squamata, Rhineuridae.
CCUGGGUGCCUAAAGAGUUGUAGCCCUCAUGUGAAGGAAGGAGCCAUCCUGAAUCCCUGAAGGUUAGUGCAGAUAGGGAGGGAGGCCUCAGUCAGUGGGCUAUUUUAUCUCAAUGUUUCCUUGCCUGGGAAGUCCUGGAAGGGAAUUGCAAGAGGGUUUUUCCAUUCUUCAUGACUGCCCUGAAAACGGCUGAGUCAGAGCUGCUAGGAAAGGCACUGCCUUGCUUGAACAACUGCCCAGUACCUACUGGUUCUUGUCUGCCUGGUGUCAGAGUGGAGUGCAGAAGAGACCUCCUCCUGCUGUCACCAUCAGCAAAGACAGCAGUCAGGGCCAGCGGGUGCACCAGACUUGUUGGAUAGUUAAAGCUAUUUUAUUAUCCUUUACACAAAAAAGAUGCAGGAGGAGCAGCACGACUUUGGGGGCAGAGCCCUGAGCCCCUAUUCAAACUCCAUGGAGAGGGCUUUACUCUUGCUUACAUUGCACCUCAUUUGCCAUUUUGUUGCCUCGAGAGUAUACAAAAUGAAGAUGUGAUAUGUGCAUUCCCUGAAGCCUGUUGGAGACUGACAACUGAGGAAUGUACAAAAUGCACUUGAGAUUAGGGAUGGAAGGAUCAGUCUACUUUGGUUGCCUCAAUUUCUCAUUUUUCUAAGCUUCCAAUCUCCAUGAUUCUGCAGAAAUCUGUGAUUAAAAAAAAAUCAUAAAAAUUUGUUAGCAUUUUAAGUGCAAAUUUCUCCUAAUAAACUUAUUUUGUAUGCAGCUUUGACAAAUAUACACAUUUUUGCAA